UUGAACGCUGGCGGCAUGCCUAACACAUGCAAGUCGAACGGGAUCAGGGGCAACUCUGGUUCAGUGGCGGACGGGUGAGGAACGCAUCGGAAUUUACCUCGAGAUGGGGGAUAACCAAGGGAAACUUUGGCUAAUACCGCAUGAUCUCGCGAGAGCAAAGAGGGGGACCGCAAGGCCUCUUGUCUUGAGAUGAGCCGAUGUCCGAUUAGCUAGUUGGUAGGGUAAAGGCCUACCAAGGCGACGAUCGGUAGCUGGUCUGAGAGGAUGAUCAGCCACAUUGGGACUGAGACACGGCCCAAACUCCUACGGGAGGCAGCAGUGGGGAAUAUUGGACAAUGGGCGCAAGCCUGAUCCAGCAAUGCCGCGUGUGUGAAGAAGGCCUGCGGGUUGUAAAGCACUUUUGUCCGGAAAGAAAUCGCGUGAGUUAAUACCUUGCGUGGAUGACGGUACCGGGAGAAUAAGCACCGGCUAACUUCGU
Molecule: ribosomal RNA, 478 nt
Filed under: uncultured bacterium
Lineage: Bacteria
Description: bacterial SSU rRNA
Rfam family: Bacterial small subunit ribosomal RNA
Source: RNAcentral